This 373-nucleotide ribosomal RNA is filed under the name uncultured bacterium. RNAcentral's name for it is "bacterial SSU rRNA". It matches the Rfam family "Bacterial small subunit ribosomal RNA", at positions 29 to 432 of the family's 1533-position model. The record is from RNAcentral.
AACGAACGCUGGCGGCAUGCCUAACACAUGCAAGUCGAACGAGACCUUCGGGUCUAGUGGCGCACGGGUGCGUAACGCGUGGGAAUCUGCCCUUGGUUCGGAAUAACAGUUAGAAAUGACUGCUAAUACCGGAUAAUGUCUUCGGACCAAAGAUUUAUCGCCCAGGGAUGAGCCCGCGUAGGAUUAGCUAGUUGGUGAGGUAAAGGCUCACCAAGGCGACGAUCCUUAGCUGGUCUGAGAGGAUGAUCAGCCACACUGGGACUGAGACACGGCCCAGACUCCUACGGGAGGCAGCAGUGGGAAUAUUGGACAAUGGCGAAAGCCUGAUCCAGCAAUGCCGCGUGAGUGAUGAAGGCCUUAGGGUUGUAAAGCU